Molecule: ribosomal RNA, 623 nt
Filed under: Vermamoeba vermiformis
Lineage: Eukaryota; Tubulinea; Echinamoebida; Vermamoebidae
Description: SSU rRNA
Rfam family: Eukaryotic small subunit ribosomal RNA
Source: RNAcentral
UUUCGGAAGGUCCUUAGCGGUCCGCCCCUUCGGGGAGCGGGUCGCUGGCCUCCUAUGUUCCUAACGGUCCUCAUCCGCGAGGGUGGGGAAUCAACCGCUAGGAUCGUUUACUUUGAGGAAAUUAGAGUGUUCAAAGCAGGCGUAACUCGCCUCCGAAUACGUUAGCAUGGGAUAAUGGAAUACGACUUCGGUCUUGUUUCGUUGGUUUCGCUUGGCUGAAGUAAUGAUUGAUAGGGACAGUUGGGGGCAUUAGUAUUUAGUUGUCAGAGGUGAAAUUCUAGGAUUUACUAAAGACUGACCAAUGCGAAAGCAUUUGCCAAGGAUGUUUUCAUUAAUCAAGAACGAAAGUAGGGGGAUCGAAGACGAUCAGAUACCGUCGUAGUCUCUACCGUAAACUAUGCCGACCAGGGAUCCGGAGAGUUUGCAUGGAUGACUCCCCGGGCACCUUGUGAGAAAUCAUAAGUGUUUGGGUUUUGGGGGGAGUAUGGUCGCAAGGCUGAAACUUAAAGGAAUUGACGGAAGGGCACCACCAGGAGUGGAACCUGCGGCUUAAUUUGACUCAACACGGGGAAACUUACGAGGUCAGGACACUGUGAGGAUUGACAGAUUGAAAGCUCUUUCUU